CCUCAGAGCCGGUGCUGCCCAUGGGGAACGUGCUCGAAAUCCCACCUGUGUUUCCAAACUGACGUUAAAUUACUGCAGACGUCUCAGUAUUUGCUGUGCACGGACAUAUCUUCUGUUGGAAAACAACACAUUGCGGUGAUGGAAAAUAACCUGAAUUCUUCCAUGCCGUUAACUGCAGGAGGUUUUCUACCCGAAGGGCCACGUCUGGCAGACAGGCUGGUGGGGCAGCACAGCCCAGUGCUGGGCUUUCAGGGCCGUGCACACAGCUGCUGGCUGGGGCUGAACCAGACGGAGCCAUGGCUGUAUGGCUGCGUGGCUGUUUGGCUGUGACUGUGUGACUGUCAGAUGGCUGUUCUGUACAGAAAGGGCUCUUCACCACAGCCUGUGCUCUGGGCUUUCUUCACACACUUUGCUGCACCUUGGGACGGGCCCCACGGUGGCUCUGAGCCUCACAACGGGCCCUGCUGCUGCCCCAUCCCCACGCCAGGCCCUGCAAGUCCACCACAGCAGCAAGCUGCACCAGGGCAGGUGACACCUAUAUGCAAAACAAUGACUGCUCCAGUUUUGAGUGGACUCUUCCCAGACAAGGUUGAUGGUCUGAUCCUAUUUCUGAUUUGAUAACAAGCCUUUUGGUUCACAUUCAUAAGAAGUGAGUGAUGAACACGACAAGCAGAACCAAGGGGGCCCUGCCUGCAGUCUUCAGGUAGAGGAGGACCGCCAGGUUUAUUGCACAGCCUCCUUUCCACAGGCUGGCACAUGAGAACUGCAGGAGUACAAGGCUCUGGUGGACAGCACACAGCAUACUGUAGUGCCAUCAAGCUAUAGAGGAGCGGAACUCUUCCUGGAGUAGUGAUGGAGGAUCCCAACAGCUAACUGUAUUGGAGGCUGAAGUGAGCCCAAUUGGGAAGGAGUGGCAAAACACCCCAUUGUGACCAACCCAGAGGCUCUGUGCAACGUUGGCAUAGAUCACCUCACAGGAAGACACCUCAAGGACUCAAACCAUGGCAUAGAUCACCUCACAAGAAGACACCUCAAGGACUCACUUGGUUUAACCUGACAGACAGCACGAUGAGAAAUCUGGCAAUGCCAGAGUGCCACUUGGGCACCAGCUGCUGCAGGCCUACAGCAGCAGACACUGCUCCAGAGGGCCAACAGGGCCACUGUCGCUGCUGCGAGGAGCUUGGCACAGAAGAACAUCCCUGGAGCAGCGAGCUAAGUGCACUGAGAUGUUUGAAGAUGUCCUCAGCCAUCUUCAGCCUGAAGCACCACUGAGACCCGCAGCUGCUGCAGAACACAAUGAAGCUACCAGAGAUGCUAAUGGAGGAGCUGAAGGGUUCAUAGGCAGAAAGCAAGGGGUGUGCUGUGGAGCCUACAACCAUGGAUUGCAGGAGUGCGUUUCUUAAAGCCAACAGAAUGGCAUCUUUUUUGAUGGGAAUAUAACAGUGGGACUUCAAAGCAUGACCAGCGCCCAGCGUUCAAAACAGCAUGCGUAAGGCCAGACACAAACUGUGAGACUAUCUUUAAGUCAUUAAAAAGAUCUAGAAUUA
This is a long non-coding RNA of Gallus gallus (chicken), 1547 nucleotides long. RefSeq lists it as uncharacterized. The record is from RefSeq and is a predicted model, not a curated record. NCBI's taxonomy places the organism in Eukaryota, Metazoa, Chordata, Aves, Galliformes, Phasianidae. The transcript has 3 exons.